This 409-nucleotide ribosomal RNA is filed under the name Actinomycetes bacterium. RNAcentral describes it as "Actinobacteria bacterium partial 16S ribosomal RNA". It matches the Rfam family "Bacterial small subunit ribosomal RNA", at positions 355 to 776 of the family's 1533-position model. Lineage: Bacteria; Bacillati; Actinomycetota; Actinomycetes. The record is from RNAcentral.
UGGGGAAUAUUGCACAAUGGGCGGAAGCCUGAUGCAGCGACGCCGCGUGGGGGAUGAAGGCCUUCGGGUUGUAAACUCCUUUCGACAGGGACGAAGCUUUUGUGACGGUACCUGUAUAAGAAGCACCGGCUAACUACGUGCCAGCAGCCGCGGUAAUACGUAGGGUGCGAGCGUUGUCCGGAAUUACUGGGCGUAAAGAGCUCGUAGGUGGUUUGUCGCGUCGUCUGUGAACUUCCGGGGCUUAACUCCGGGCGUGCAGGCGAUACGGGCUGACUUGAGUGCUGUAGGGGAGACUGGAAUUCCUGGUGUAGCGGUGAAAUGCGCAGAUAUCAGGAGGAACACCGAUGGCGAAGGCAGGUCUCUGGGCAGUAACUGACGCUGAGGAGCGAAAGCAUGGGUAGCGAACAGG